Long non-coding RNA from Cyanistes caeruleus (blue tit), 2272 nucleotides. NCBI's taxonomy places the organism in Eukaryota, Metazoa, Chordata, Aves, Passeriformes, Paridae. The record is from Ensembl.
CGGGGGUGAGCGCCGUGGGCCGCCCGGCGUGAGGCACCUGAGCGGCACGCGAAAACUUCAGCGGGGGGAAGGUCGCGGAGGAGUGAAACGAGUCGCCCUGCUACCAGGGAAGGGGGAUGCAAGGACUACAGCCAGCGUUUUUCCUUAAUUUCUGUUUAAAUUGUCUUUAAAUCUUAAAAUGCUGCCUUUCUUAUGAUGCCAGUGAAAUUCCCAAGUAGGUACAAUAAGCAUCUUAAUGGAAUAACUGGAGUAGCUAUGCAGGUGCAUCCUGGUCGCAGGUUGUGUAGAGUUCCAGCAAGCAGCCAAGGGCACUUGGCCAAAACGCGAUGGAGCAAAUAAAUAUUCAGCUGACUUCAGAGAGUAGAUUUUUUUUAAAAACGCGAAAGAGCUUUGAAGACUUUUGGGAACAUUCAGCACAUCUGCUGAAUCAGGCUGCCUGUUCCCAAUCAAGCAGUGUUCUGCAAAUGCAAGAGUACAGGCAUCUCCUGAUUCAGAAACCACUAAAGGAAAGGAUGAAUUUUGUCAGGAGUCAAAAGAUCCUGAAUUCCACUCCUAUAGCCAUUGACUGUUGUUUGACUUCAAAGUCCUCCGUACUGACCUAAACCUCAAGCUUCUACCUAGAAGGAGGUCAGGUGAGCAGUAUACAGCAUGCACAUCUACAGAACAUUCAGCGGUGAACUGCAAGAACAGAAAUGACUGAAAGAAUUUGCACAUGGGCAUCAAAAAAUGAAAAGUAUCCAAAUUUAAAAAUAUAUUCACCUCACAAAGCAAGACUCCCCAAAACAAGGAGAAAGAGUCAAAAGAACAGGGCUAAUUUUAAGAUGUUAGUGACCACACUAUUCAGUUUUUAUCCUGUGUCUGUACCUGUGAUAUCUGAGCUCCCUGAGCAUCCCAUCGUAUGUUGGUAGGUUUCUCAACCUUCACUCUUUUCUUCAAGAGAACAGUGUGAAUUUUUUGAUAGGUCAUUUCUGGUUUGGCUUACUCAGUUCAAGGACUUUGCUAGAGUAGGGACCCAUUAAAUAAUUCCGUAGUAUUCUACAUCAUUUCAGUCCUGCCAUCCAUUUUUCAACAAUAAGUUUGCUGCAGUUCCAAUGCUGAGCACUGAAUUUUCAAAGUUACAGUCAGUUGCAGUACUCAUUCAUCAUUGCCAAAGUUAAGCUACCUGGGCUUCACAUGUAAGGGUGUUCUUCAGGAGUCAGAGCUGCCACUGCCUAGCAAAAAAGGAAACCGAUGACUUGGCUGGCAGUAAAGGUACUCCAUGGGUCACAAAUACCAAGUGCCAAGUUAACAAAUUUUUCCCUUCUGGCUAAAAUUUAAUCCAUAUGCUCUGCAUGAAGUUUAUUUUUUGAGAUGGCAUCUGGAGUACAAAAGAGACAUUACAAUAUAAGAGAAAUAUACUGGCAGUAUGUGAAUUUAUUACAAACCUUUAAAUGGCUUUCUAGUUCCCAUUAAGUGCUUUAUGCUUCAGUUAUCAAAAAUUGUCAGAAAUUCCUUAAGAAACCUUUCAAAAACAAUUACAGAGAGGAGAAAAAGUAGCAGGCACAUCAAAGGAGGUAGUAUGCAUCAAAACCUAGUGAUGUUUUCCUUAGAAAGCUUUCUGUUUUGUCAAUGUUUCCUUUCAUGUAAUAACUCUAUAAGAAUUCUUCUUCCAUUACUAUGAUUGUUUCUAUUGAAUUUGAUAUUCUGUGCAGUCAUUAUCUGCUUCAUGAAGACCUAAGAGCCAUUAGUCAACAGCUGGCUAAAUGCAGUUCUUAAAGUAUCCUUGUACUUAAAACAAAAUGCAACUGAAGAUACAUCCAGGAGAAUGAAAUCCCUGAGUCCCUGCACUUUAUAAGUGAGGCAUUAUUUUUUAUUGCCAAGCCAUGGCCUUGGAACAUUAUAAACCCCUGUUGUAAAAUUUUCAAAAAAAGCACACAUGCACACACACACUGGCUAAAUAUUGCAGUGCUCCAAGCUGUUUAAAAUAAUGGAGGUCUAGCAGUUCCUGACCUAGAAAGCUGUCAUCUUGCUUUUUAUUUAGUAUUCCCCUAAAAAUGGAUCUUCUCAGAUGGCAUGUUUUCAAAAGAAAUUGAAGCAUCUUACUCUAUUAUGCUGAAAUACCCAAUUUACCUUUUAUCCCAGGUUAACUGACAGAAUUGUAAAUAACAUCACUGGAGGGUUGAUUUUGUACACCUAAUUUAAAAAAAAAAAAUUUAAAAAAACACUCUGGUGUUCUGUUUUUUUUUUAAACAUACUCAAUAAACAAUAAUAUAUCCAUGAGCUUGAGUUUAAG